GAUGAACGCUAGCGGCAGGCCUAAUACAUGCAAGACGAACGGUAAGUUGAGUAGCAAUACUUAGCCAAGAGUGUCGUACGGGUGCGUAACACGUAUGCAACCUACCCUAUACAGGAGGAUAGCCUAGGGAAACCUGGAUUAACCCUUCAUAGUAUUAUUGGAUGGCAUCAUUUGAUAAUUAAAACUGAGGUGGUAUAGGAUGGGCAUGCGUCUGAUUAGUUAGUUGGCGGGGUAAUGGCCCACCAAGACGAUGAUCAGUAGGGGUUCUGAGAGGAAGAUCCCCCACACUGGCACUGGGAUACGGGCCAGACUCCUACGGGAGCAGCAGUAGGGAAUAUUGGUCAAUGGAUGCAAGUCUGAACCAGCCAUGCCGCGUGCAGGAAGAAGGCCUUCUGGGUUGUAAACUGCUUUUGCCAGGGGAUAAAUUUCCAUGCGUGGAAACUGAAGGUACCUGGUGAAUAAGCACCGGCUAACUACGUGCCAGCAGCCGCGGUAAU
Molecule: ribosomal RNA, 497 nt
Filed under: uncultured bacterium
Lineage: Bacteria
Description: bacterial SSU rRNA
Rfam family: Bacterial small subunit ribosomal RNA
Source: RNAcentral